This 253-nucleotide ribosomal RNA is filed under the name uncultured bacterium. Its description in RNAcentral is "partial 16S ribosomal RNA". It matches the Rfam family "Bacterial small subunit ribosomal RNA", at positions 524 to 776 of the family's 1533-position model. The record is from RNAcentral.
CACGUAGGGCGCAAGCGUUGUCCGGAAUUAUUGGGCGUAAAGAGCUCGUAGGCGGUCUGUUGCGUCCGCUGUGAAAACUCGGGGCUUAACCCCGAGCCUGCAGUGGAUACGGGCAGACUAGAGGUAGGUAGGGGAGAAUGGAAUUCCCGGUGUAGCGGUGAAAUGCGCAGAUAUCGGGAGGAACACCGGUGGCGAAGGCGACAUCCUGGACCACGACUGACGCUGAGGAGCGAAAGCCAGGGGAGCAAACGGG